UCGGUAUCGUCUUCUAAAGAUUUUGCAAGAUUUUUAGAAAACGAUAUCGAGCUAAGAGCUACGAAUCAAAUUCAAUUCACAACUCCAUUUAUUUUAUAUUUUUAAGAACACUUGUGAACAAGUUAUAAUUUUUGCUACAUUAUGUCAUUCAUGAGCUCGGUUCGUGUAAUGCAUUGUGGCAGAUAACAAAUUAAUCAAUCAUGUAAUGACUUGUGUUAUCGAUAAGAUCAAUUUUGGUUUAAAAAAUUUGCCACUGAAGUUUGAUUUCUGAUUAAAUUUUGUAGAAGGAAAUUGAAAUAAAAUAUUAAUAAAUAUAUAGGAUAUUAAUCGAUAAAAUUGAUAUUUGAUUUUUUACAGAAAUGGAGCUAAUGGCGCCAUCUUUCUGCGAAGAGGAGUGUCUACACUUUCUGAUUAGCACACUUGUCUCUCUUGUCGAUGACAUAGGGAACGACAUAAAAAUGUCGAGCAUGAAGUUUCACCAAUUUUGCUGCUUUCGUUAUCUCUUAUCAUGGAAACACACCGACAUACAGUAUCAUAGCGACAGAGUUUCCGAUAAAAAUUGAAUGAUUCGUUGCCAGAUGACGCAGUACCAUAUUUCCUCCAUAUCCCACAAAAAAGAUAAAUGCGCCGUACACUGUAGAGAUAUUGCAUCGUCAAAUCGCAAUUGGAACUUACAUCGUUGCAAUCGAAGCUGUAUAAAUGCAUA
This is a long non-coding RNA of Megachile rotundata (alfalfa leafcutting bee), 706 nucleotides long. RefSeq lists it as uncharacterized. NCBI's taxonomy places the organism in Eukaryota, Metazoa, Arthropoda, Insecta, Hymenoptera, Megachilidae. The record is from RefSeq and is a predicted model, not a curated record.